UACGGAGGAUGCAAGCGUUAUCCGGAAUGAUUGGGCGUAAAGCGUCCGCAGGUGGCUGUGUAAGUCUGCUGUUAAAUAGUGAGGCUCAACCUCAUAAAGGCAGUGGAAACUACACGGCUAGAGUGCGUUCGGGGCAGAGGGAAUUCCUGGUGUAGCGGUGAAAUGCGUAGAGAUCAGGAAGAACACCGGUGGCGAAAGCGCUCUGCUAGGCCGCAACUGACACUGAGGGACGAAAGCUAGGGGAGCAAACAGG
Molecule: ribosomal RNA, 253 nt
Filed under: uncultured bacterium
Lineage: Bacteria
Description: partial 16S ribosomal RNA
Rfam family: Bacterial small subunit ribosomal RNA
Source: RNAcentral